UCGGGUCGCCGGAGGUCCAGUACCCCAGGCUGCUGCACUCGCUAGGUAUGUCCGGGAGACAAAACUGCAGUCGCUGAAAUUUUGGGCAAUCAACGGUGGAAUUGGGUGGUUUAGAUUAAUAUAUAUGUGGCUUGGCAGCGAUAUCGUUAGGUUGGAUUUCUCUCCAGUCGGGUCGGGUCAUCUAUCUUCAUCCAUCACACGUUGUUGUGGCAGAUUACAACGGUUACUGGACUAAUGCAUCUGUUGUGGAGCUUGUAUGCUGAAGUCUAGUACUGAAUCCUUUUUAUGGCCGUCACAUUAGGAGCAAAGGGAAGGGUUUGGGUUCGAUUUGGGGUGCGAAAUUGAUCAUGAGCACUUACCUGUGUCUUGAAUGGUUAGUUUUGAUACAAUCUGAUCGGUGAACUUCAGGCCAUUUUAGCAGGUUAGUUACAAUUGUGAGACCACUGGCUAUGGAUCUGUGUGCGCUAGGACACCUCCAAAAUUGUACUAGUAACAAUGAACUCCCUCCGUUCACAGAUAGAAGAUGUUCUAACUUCUUUCUUAAUCAGAUGUAUAUUGACAUGUUUUAGUGUCUUUGUUCACUCAUUUCAGUCCGUAUGUAGUCCAUAUUGAAAUACCCAAAACAUUUUAUAUAUUUGUGAACAUAUGGCGUACGUCCGUAUGCACUACUAUGCUGUUGUGUAUUCUGACCAAAUGAACACCAAUCAUCUGACAUCAAAAUGUAUGUGCAUCCAUAACCAUAAGCACUACACAAAUGUUAAUAAUGCAUCCCAUCACACUCAUGGUCUCUUCCCUAUGGCUAUGGCAGCCACCACCUUCUAAUGGCCAACUCAGCACAUGAGUGUACCAUGUCUUCGAUGUGUGUGUGAGGGGGUGGGUGGGUAGGGGGGGGGGUAAUGUGUUAGGAUUUUAGCAGUGCUUGUCCGAUGGGAAAAUGGAAGCUGAUGCAUCAGGGAAAUGGACAAUGCCUACGGUGAAACCAUAAAAGUGUGCUGGGGUUACUUGUGUAAUGACAUUGGGCUAGAUGGUGUCAACAUACUUCAUACUCCAUCCACAUGAUAAUAAACUAUGCUGGCAGGGUCCAGAUAUGCACUUUAGAUAUAAGUAUAUUUGAUCCAGAGUUUACAAUCUACUGGUCACAUUAGUAUCAUCUAGUUCCUUCGUGUUGCCUUGUUGCACUAAUGUUGUUUCAUUUCUAGGCAUAGAUUUCAAAUUACAAUAUAAGCAUAUGCAUCUAUUUAUUUAUAUUGGCCUGUCAAAACCGAGCUUCAGUUGCUUCUUUUUCUCCUCUAAUCUCAGUAGGUUCUUCUUACCUAUUUUUGUUUCAUAAUUAUAUAUGAAAAAUAUGCUGCAGAAAAUGCUCAUUAAUCUUGAUGCUUAUACCUAUCUACCUCACUUGUAGCAAAUCUUGUUGAGAAGUUGAUGUCACAUUUUUUCUGAAGUUUUAGUGGCAGGUGGAUAUCCACAAUUAUCCCUGUUAGGUUCUCUCACUGUGAUGCCUUCUUGUUCUUACAAAUUUUCGCUGCCUAAUUUUGGUCUUAGGAGUCACUGAAAGAUGAGAUGGAAUCCGUUUCACGAGCUCCAGCCUUGAUACAGUAAUCAAUGCUCAUUGAUGUUAUCUACUUUGUCUUGUUGUCUAUGUAUCUAAAAAUUAACAGGAUGUGGUUAUGAGGCGCAAAGUGUGAAGUAACUGUAUUCGAUGCAAUAGGGGCCUUUGAGUGAGAUUAAGAUGUGCAACUUGCAGUUGAAUCAGUAAAGAAAAAUGUUACAAUUUUGUAAUUUCUCCUUAUUUUGGUCCGUUGUACAUGCCUAAAAGCUUAAAAUACCGGGAUAACAAGCUCAGUUCUAUGGAUCUUGUACCAUGUUAACUAAGUUAUUUUUCUCGCAAAGAAGAAACUAAUUGAUUCCAAAAAUGAAAUGUUGUUGAAAUGUUCAUUACAUUUUUUUUAUGGAAACAAAGUGUUACAUUUUCUGCAGCGAAGAAUCUAUUACCUUUUUCAGUGGUAUGAUUCGAGGCAACAUAAUGUAUAUUAAAUGUGCCCACUAGUGCACAAAGUACAUGGGUUGAAGAAUUAACUGAUUAGAAUCAUUUGUUGAAAGGAUCUCACCUUUGUUGUUUAUCAUAUUUUUGUAGUGUGGCUAACUGGCUGUUAUUGUACCACCAAAGUCCGCUGUCUGCUUGGCCUAACUUUGAGCUUUGUCCUGAUGAGCUUAAGCUGAAGUCAGAUCGCAUGUUUUCUGUUAGGGGUUUAGCGGGUUACAUGGAUAACCUGCAGCUAUCCAGAUUCUUCUCUUUCCAGUGUAUGGGACAUUGUUCGUUAUGUUAAGACUUCUUGACUUUAUGGCUCUUUUAGGCCUGAGCUAUGUGGAGUGUAAUAUAGAAAUAACUUGAACUGGAUAAAUGUUCCAACUAGCAAUCAUAGUGUUUGUGUUCUCUUUUGGUGCAAGUGAACUCUAUUAUUUGCAAUAGUUAUGACUGAGACAACCAUUGACAUUGCUGGUGAAACUUAGCUGAGCUAAGGUGUUACGCUUUAGUUGGGCAUUAGAUAUCACUCUGAAGCUGAUUUGAGAUGCUGUAACUUUUAUUUUCUUUUUCGUGAUUGCCUUUAGCCUGUGCAUUUCUAGACCAGAAACAUGUUUACCCUUCGCUAAUUUGCUUAGUUUUUUCCCAGCAGAAUGGUAUUGGUUGUUUCAUAUCAAAUCAACCUGGAUUCCAAAUCAAGAAUGAUCUAUACUUUGUUUCAUCUUUCUAGUUCGUAUACUCAAUCGCUGCGCAAAUUGGCCUUAAUAAUCUAUAAUAUGGUUUGUAUGGAAACAUUGGCCGCACCAAAUUUACUCAAGUCUAAUGUAUUCUUGUGAUAGUUUACUGCGCCAUCAUUUUCUUUCUUAUAUCUUAGGAGAAAGGAGACGGAGCUCGAACCACUUCUAUAUCAUAUUGAAGCACUCGUUCCUUGUCUUUGAUGGAUACAUUUUCAAUGUUGUAGAAUACUAGCACGAUGCCCGUGUGUUGCCACAGAACCAUUGGCUUAGGUGGUGAAAUAACUUUAGUGUCCUUUACGACAAUUACGUGAUUUAUGAUUAGAAAAGAUAGCAAAAAUACAGUGAGAGACAUGCAGCAUCAGAGAAUUUUAAAUGACCAUGGUAGCUUGGGAAGAGAACUAAAACCAAGAUUGAUUUUGAGUUGAAGUCACAUUUUUGUCUUUGUUAUCUGUGCCUUUUACAAAAAAAGUUGGUCUCACAUGAAAGUAGUGUAUGUGUCUAUUUAUGAUAGAUUUCACAUGUGCGUAAAGUACAUUUGUUUAUAUGUCUCUUCAAAGGCUGCUAGUUCCACAUGUGGGGAUGCGUGUAUUUGUUUAUUUGGAAAUGAUGUUGAACCCAUAUGUGAACUCACCACCAACUCCAAUCUUCAUAAAGUAGGAAAGAAAUAGGUAGAACUCUAUUCAGAAAGUUUAUUGUGGGAUUUAGGGGUGGAUGUGAACGUAAGAGAAUCCGUGCAAGUUUGACUUAUCAUAAUUAAUAACUUCUUACUGCAUUUUUACUGCGGUCUGACGUAUGACUCGUACUUCACCAGGUGUUCUGCUUCCAAGUGAGGUACUGUGAUCAAUUAUAUGAAUGUGCCAAUAUUGCCAGCCUUUUUUUUUUGCAGCAGCAGAUUUGCAGCUUUUUUGGUAUGUUUGGUGGCAAUUAUCAGGGUCACUAACUCCUAUGGUGCUAGGAUGGGGCCAAAGUACUAAAGGAUAUAUUGCUAAGCUGCUAGUUUGCGGAAGUUUUUGAAAUAUCGAGUAAGUAGGUGGCUGCUGAUUUCCCUGUGGUCAUCCAUAUCUGGCUCUAUGCUGCAUCUCCUUAGCUAUAUUCUAGUUGGCUAGAGGUUUUCCUGUAUCCUUUUUAGAUGCAUCAUAAAAAGAGUUCCAUGUUAUUGCUUUCUAUGCUAUCAUGGAGGAAACUUGCUGGGUUGUUUGUAGUUCUUAUUUGUAACUGUUUGCUGAAACCCUGAAACUGAUUAUUUAUUUUCCAACUUUCUAUACUCUGAAUUUUUCAUGCAUGUGCCUCCAAUGUUGCCAUGAAUAACUUUCGAAGGAACCGUUCUAGGAAGUAGAAAGGGGGGCUGUUUCUGGGAAGCAUCUCUCUCAUAAGUUUGUUCUUCAACUUGGGCACUUGAGCACAAACUGUGUGUGUCUGGACUUAAUAAUGCUGAGUUAUGUGAUAUAUACUGCAAGAUGAGCACCUAAGACUGCAAUGGUUGCCAUAUUAAAAAUCACCACCAUCUCAACUGUUCUUCUGGAUUCUGUUCGAUGUGAUAUGCUAAUUCUUGGUGAUUGUGCCUGCUAUUGAUGUAGUGUAAACCAAUUACCCAAGUGGCUGAGAACCAGAUGAGGAUAUGGUGAUAUGCUGGCUGUCAUCGCUGACGGAGACAGGUGGUGCUUCUGUCUCUGUGGACUUUAAAUUUUGGCCUUUUCCUUUUAAAUGUUCGUCCAUCAUUAUCCAGAAUAAAUUCCUGCAUUACAGCAUUUGGAGUCAGAAUAAGGUUCUGAAGACACCUGAUUGCUUUCAAUUCCAUACCACAGUGAAUUAAAUGUUCUGAAUAUGGUUGCAAGCGAAGACCCUUGUGCUGUUGCUAUUUACUGUAUUAGAGUAGAUCUUCAUUCCAUGUGCAAUAACUUCCGCUAUUAUGCAAACUAGUAGAACCACAAUAUAUUUCUGGAUAAGUACUUGUACGAAAAUUGUACUUUCCACAGUAGUGCAAUCUUUUAUUUGUUUUCUCUUCCUCUGUUGAUUGAUUAGGCUGAGAUAGGUUUCUGAAAUGUUUUAGAGAGAUUGAAGAGUUACAUAGUAAAUACACAGCAACCUGAAGUGAUGGUGCUCACCCAACAAUUUAUCAAUUACAGUUUC
This 4890-nucleotide long non-coding RNA is filed under the name Hordeum vulgare. RNAcentral describes it as "long non-coding RNA (HVUL_LNC010781)". Lineage: Eukaryota; Viridiplantae; Streptophyta; Magnoliopsida; Poales; Poaceae. The record is from RNAcentral.